CCACCUCACCACCUACCACUACUAAUGGACAGUCCACCACCUCACUACCUACCACUACUAAUGGACAGUCCACCUCCACACCACCAACCUCAACUUCCUGUGGACAACUGACUUCAUCAGGUUCCUCCUCCCCAGACAGGGAUCCCACAUCCUCCCCCAGUAGUACAACUUCUCCACUCCAUCCUGGUGAGUGUCAGACAUGGAGCUCCAUUCUGUACCAAUCUGUACAAAGGUGUACAAGUGGCAGUUGCUGGGCUUUUCAUGGCAGAUAAGACUAUGAUCUGCACUAAAUCAACGAGUCCAAGAGCUGGAUCAAUGCCCUGGAGUUCUGCAGAAGUCGUGGCUCCAAGUCCAACCUGGUGCACAUCACCAACCAGACCGUGCAGGCUGACGUGACCCAGCUCCUGGCCAAUGUGGAGCUGGCAUGUGGGGGGGUGUGGAUUGGUCUGGAGCGGUCCAUCUUUGAGUGGAACGCCCCCUGGCUGUGGACCAGUGGUGAUGUUGAUGAGGUGGUGAAGUUCAGUGAGUGGCACAGCUGCUUCCCCCUCAACCCCAUCAAUUACCACUGUGGUAAGAUGGUCCGGGUUGGUAACGGAGAACUGAAGUGGCUGGAUGCUUCCUGUCAUCAGGAAUUACCCUUCAUAUGUCAAGAUCUCCACUAGAGGGCUCUACAUGGCAGCCUGGACAGUCUGCAGACAGACACCACACUGAUCUACCAGAGAGACUACCACACUCAUGGUCUGGAAGGAACCUGCAUUUCAAUUCAUAAUAUUUUACACCAAUAUAACUAUUACUAUUAUUAGGACUUUUUACUGUCAUAUUUUACAUUAUAUUACUUAAUGAUACUGUACUUAAAUAGACUGACUCAUAAGCAUUGUUAUUUGACCUAUAAUUUACUGUAAUACUUUUAUUGUUUUAAAAUAGAGUAAAGAAAGGUAAAGUAAAGGGUAUUAACUGAAAAUGUAGCAUUUAACUCCUGUGUGAUAUGUACUGUUUCAGAACGCUAUUUAGUUAGAAUGUAAUUAUUGUUAUUUUGUAUUUCCUUUCAUCUCUGUUCUGAUUAAACAUCCAUUUAGAGUUUGAACAUUGUGGGAUUUCAUUCUUCAUAGAAAGUGCAUUGAGUUAUGAAUCAAAAGCAAUUUAAAUG
This 1147-nucleotide long non-coding RNA is filed under the name Salmo salar (Atlantic salmon). RNAcentral's name for it is "lncRNA (ENSSSAG00000110791.1)". Lineage: Eukaryota; Metazoa; Chordata; Actinopteri; Salmoniformes; Salmonidae. The record is from RNAcentral.